CUCCGGUCCCUUCGCAACGAUAAGCUGUGAACCCCGUCAGGCCCGGAAGGGAGCAGCGGCAGCAGUGGACUUGUGUGCCGGGGUGUGGCUGGAGCGA
This 97-nucleotide signal recognition particle RNA is filed under the name Gammaproteobacteria bacterium. RNAcentral describes it as "signal recognition particle sRNA small type". It matches the Rfam family "Bacterial small signal recognition particle RNA". Rfam says of the family: The signal recognition particle (SRP) is a universally conserved ribonucleoprotein involved in the co-translational targeting of proteins to membranes. Archaeal SRP consists of a 7S RNA and homologues of the eukaryotic SRP19 and SRP54 proteins. Lineage: Bacteria; Pseudomonadati; Pseudomonadota; Gammaproteobacteria. The record is from RNAcentral.